UGGGGAAUUUUGGACAAUGGGGGCAACCCUGAUCCAGCAAUGCCGCGUGUGUGAAGAAGGCGUUCGGGGUGUAAAGCACUUUUGUCCGGGAAGAAAUCGCACCUGAUAAUACCGGGUGUGGAUGACGGUACCGGAAGAAUAAGGACCGGCUAACUACGUGCCAGCAGCCGCGGUAAUACGUAGGGUCCAAGCGUUAAUCGGAAUUACUGGGCGUAAAGCGUGCGCAGGCGGUUGUGCAAGACCGAUGUGAAAUCCCCGGGCUUAACCUGGGAAUUGCAUUGGUGACUGGACGGCUAGAGUGUGUCAGAGGGGGGUAGAAUUCCACGUGUAGCAGUGAAAUGCGUAGAGAUGUGGAGGAAUACCGAUGGCGAAGGCAGACCCCUGGGAUAACACUGACGCUCAUGCACGAAAGCGUGGGGAGCAAACAGG
This 429-nucleotide ribosomal RNA is filed under the name Bacillota bacterium. RNAcentral's name for it is "Firmicutes bacterium partial 16S ribosomal RNA". It matches the Rfam family "Bacterial small subunit ribosomal RNA", at positions 355 to 776 of the family's 1533-position model. Lineage: Bacteria; Bacillati; Bacillota. The record is from RNAcentral.